Delphinapterus leucas (beluga whale) is the source of this 7602-nucleotide non-coding RNA. NCBI's taxonomy places the organism in Eukaryota, Metazoa, Chordata, Mammalia, Artiodactyla, Monodontidae. The record is from RefSeq and is a predicted model, not a curated record.
CGUACCGCAAAAAAAAAAAAAAAAAAAGACCAAGGCUUAAUAGGGCAGUGAAGGUUCAAGGAGUACGUUUCAUUCCCCGUAGAUCUUUGCUAAUUUUGAGGUUCAGAUAUGGAAGGAGUGGGCUCCAAGAACCUGGGGUGGGAAAUUGGGGAUGUGCUAGAUGCCCUUAAAUCCCACAGUGACUCAAAUUUCUGGGCCAGCAGCAGUUGCUUUGGUGCCUCUUAAUUAGAAGAAAGACUUAUACAGAGGCAUCACCUGAGGUAUGUGGCUGAUCAGAUAAUAUCUGCUCUCCAAGUCUGCUGGAAGAAUGAGCUGGCAAACUGCUGGUAAGCCAAAUCCAGCCUGCCAUAUGGUUUAGUAUAUAGUAUAACUCGUGAGCUAAGAAUGGUUUCCAGUUGAGUCAAUUUGGUGGCAGGAAACCCCGAUUAAUUAGAAUCUCUCCCAAAAGAAUACCAUUCUUAUUAGCAGACCUGUAGUUCAAAAUACUGCUCUUAGUGUUAGUUUUAUCCAAAAAAAUUUUGUGAAAACUUCAAAUUUCCCUUGGCCUGCAGAAUUUUUACUAUUUCUAGCCCCUUAAAGGAAAUGACUGACUCCUGUUUCAGAAAACUAGUAUCAGGACUGAGUGUGGCACAGAAGGAAACUGCAGGGCCUGAUUAGUAUGUAUGAACAGGAGCCGUAGCACACAAGGGGAUCUUGAGGAUGCUGGGCCAGAGGGUUGAGUAUAAAACGAUUGAUGUGGGGCAUCUCUUGUGACUCAGGAUGUAAAUUCUAAGCAUUCUUGGAGCCCAUCCUAAUCUAGAGUUGACCCUUGAAGCUUGUAGAUGAUGGCCUAUAGGAGGAAGAGAUGCUGGGUGUUGAGAAAGGGGGUUGGGGGACUCAGGUGGGCAUGCUAGAGAAGAUUAGUAUUUAAGGCCAGAAAAAACACCAGCUAAAAGAUGUUCUCCUGGAAGGAUCCAAGGACAUUCCACUAAAUUCGAUAACGUGCUGGUGAGGCGCACCAGCAUUUUGAGACAUUAAUGGAAGCUCUUGGCCAGGGUUGGCAGUAGGAGAAAAUAGGGGUAAAAGGAUUCCAGAAGAGCAGAGAUCAGGUGGUGGCAAUCAUCAGAUGGUGAGGUAAGCAUAAUUGUCAUGAUGGGCACCAAAACCCGAGAGGCAGGAGGAGCCUUGACCCGGCCAGAUCUGUGGUGAAGGCUGUCAGACCUCUGUGUGUCCAGGGGUCAUACAGGCACAGCUCUGAGGUCUGUUAUAUUUAUUUCCAGAACAGAGCCAGGUCUCAGUCCCAGAGACCAUCAACUGGAGUGGAGGAAGGGCCUGACAGCAUUGCAACAACUAUGUAAUAAAGAUUCUAUACUUCUUCCCCUCUGCGGCCAGCGGUAGGAAAUGACCCGAGUCUCUUAUAUGCUGUUGGAUAGGGGGUCUGAGUUGAUACUGAUACCAGGGGAUCCAAAGUGCGAUCAUGGUCCUUCUGUUAAGAUUGGGAGCAUAGGAAGUCCAGGUGACAUGUUCAUUUCAUUGUGGGUUAAACAGGUUUGCAGACCCCUUAGGUUAUCUCCCUGAGUGAGUGGGAAGGGGUACCCUAGGCAGUUGACAGAUACCCCACACUGGGUCCCUGGCUUGUGAAGAGUCGUCAUGGUAGGAAAGGCCAAGAGGAACCUCUCAGAAGGCAUUCCCCAUCCAAGACAGUGAACAAAGAUUCUGUGAUGUGUGUGCAACGUCUGGGGUUAGGGCCAUGCUGAAACACGUAAUAAAAAGGCAAGCCUAGCACUUUUUAUUUGCCUGCCUGUUCCGCAGAAAGAGCAGAUGGAUUCCAGCAGAUGAUAGCGAAAGACCAGGAACUUAACCGUGUAGUUGCCCCAGUCACAGCUCAGUGCUCAAUGUGGCGUGUUUGCCCGGAUAGAUCAACAAGACCCUGGGACUUGGGAAGCCCCUGACCUAGCGAAUAUGUUCUUUUCAAACAGAGUCAAGCAAAAGAUUUUUUUUAAAUGACCUUAUAACAUGGACAUCAGAACACAUUCCCUGUCUUUUUCCAAGUGUAUAGUAACUCCUGUUCUCUGUUACAAUACAGUCUGGAGAGACAUUGAUCACCUUGCCAUGAUCCACUAUAUUGAUGACAUGCUCAUUGGUCUUGGUGAGGAGGAAGCAGUGAGUACUUGGGAUGCCUUAGGAAGACACCUACCUGUGUGCUAGGGGGUGGAAGAAUUCAGGGCUCUGCCAUAUCAGGGACAUUUUCAGGGUCUAAUGGUCUUGGGCACGGAUUGGCUAACUAGGGUCCAUGGGCCAAAUCUGGCCUGCUGCCUGUUUUUGUAAAUAAUGUUUUAUUGGUACACAGCCAUGUGCAUUCAUUUAUUUUGUCUAGCCUGCUCUUGAGCUACACCGGCAGAUAGAUGAGUAGUUUCAUCAGAGACCAUGUGGCCCACAAAGCCUAGCAGACACUUACUCUCUGAGCCUUUAUAGGAAAUGUUUGCUGACCUCUGGACCUGGGCAGAACUGGAACAUUUCCUCCAAUGGAAAGGUCAAGAUACUGCAUCACCAAGAAAGAGGCAUAACUGUUGGUAGGACCUUUUGGAUUUGGAGAAACCUUAUUUUACACUUGAAAAUAGUGCUCAUACCCAAUUACCAGGUGACUAGAAGGCUGCCUGGAUUCUGCAAGCUGCCCUGCCAUCUGCUACAAAGGACAGAGUAGGCUCCAUCAUCCAGGUAUCUGCGUUCUAAAUGGUUUUGUGUGGUGUCUCUGAUGUCUCACUACACAGUGGCAGCUCAGCCCCUGAGUGGUAGGAAUCAACACGACGUUCUCUGCAGCAGGGAGCCGUUUACUAUUCAAAGCAGCUCCUGGAGCUACUGUGCUCACCCUGCACUGAGUGUUGGCAGUUGCAUCAAGUCCUGAAGCUCUUCUACGGUAUCUCAGUUUUGGUUUUAGUUUUUGUGUAAAAAUUCUUGUACAUUCUGUUAGACUUGUUUCUAGGUAUUUUAUUAUAUUUUAAAUGGUGUCUUUUAAAUUUCUCUUGCUGAGAGUUUGUUCCUGGGACUAGAAAUACAAGGAUUAAAAAAACAAAACAAAACUGGAUUUUUAUAUUGACCUUUGUGGUCUUGCUAAAAUCUUUUACCUAUGCUGAUUUAAAUGUAGAUUCUUUGGAUUUUCUACAAAGUCGUGCCAUUUGCAAAUAAUGACAUUUUGAUUAAUUUCUUUCUAAUCCUUAUGUACUUUUUUCUUUGCCUUGUUGCAAAGAAAGGUAAGUUUAUUUUUUAUCAUUAGGAAAUGUGAUGCUGCACAUUUGGGGUCAGAGGGCAUCUUAUUGAAAGCUUUCAAUAACAUUCCUCCAUUAAAAUACUGGUUUUUGGUUGCAUACCCUUUAUUUAGGAGAUUUCCAUUUACUUAAGGUUUAGUAUAAAUUUAUUUUUUAAUCGCUAGUAAAUGUUGGAUUUUAUUUAAUACUUUUUCCUUCUUCUGUGUCUUUAUUCCUUUUAUCUAUCUUCCAAUCACUCAUUCUCUUCAGCUAAGUCUAAUUGGUUGUUAAACAUCCGUUAUGUUUAAGAACUGAUGAACUUUUAGUUGUAAAAUUUUCUUAAUUUUUUUUUUUUUUACAUAAUGUAGAAAAAUUAAUUUUUUCACAAUUCUGGUGGCAAGAAGCCAAAAUUAAGGUGCAGGCAAGGCCAUUCUCCCUCUGAAGUCCCUGAGGAAGAAUCCUUGCCUCUUCUAGCCUCGGUGCCUGCCGGCAGUCUUGGUGUUCUUUAGCUUGCAGUUGCAUCCUUCCCUCUCUGCCUGGGGUGGCACACGGCCUUCUCCCUGUGUCCAAAUUGUCCUCCUUUUAGGGGGACACCAGUCAUUGGAUUAGGGUCCAUCCUAAUCCAGUAUGACCUCUUUUUAAAAUGAUUAUAUCUGCAAAGAUUCUAUUUCCAAAUAAGGUCACAGUCUCAAGUACUGGGGAUUAGGAAUUGAACAUACCUUUUUGGAGGACACAAUUUAACCAAAAACACAGGUUUAAUUUUCUUCUGAAAAUCUCCAUAUAGCUCAUUCCUUGAACACAUUACUCACAGUUUUUAAAGUCUGAUCGUUCCAACAUCUACAUUUCUGUGUUUAUGUUGUCUGUCUGGCUUAAGUUUGUCUUUUAUGCAUGGAUAUUUUUGGUAGGGUACCGGAUAUUGUGUACUUAAGUUGUAGGCAUAGGAUGACUAUAAGACCUAUGUGUUGUUAUUAUCUGUGAGGGGAUUGGUGGAAGGAAUGCAACCAGAUUUCUUAAAAUUACCCUGAGAACAUGAGAAGCCUAAAAUGACCAAUAUGCAUUCGGUGGGAAUCAUAAAACAACAAUCUGAAAACAAGUAAACCUGUGAGCCCAAACUCAGAAAAUUCUUGAGGUGCCAGUUUGAAUUUACAUUAUUGUAGGGGUAGGAGACCAUAUCAAAUAAAUCAGUAAAAUAUAAGUAGUAUGUGAAUUAGGGCCGAGUACAAAGAGAAGAAGCAGUGAACAGUGAUGAGAGGUCGCAUGUUGGUGGUACAGCUGUAGAGUGGCCCGGCCCGGAGGCCUCCUGAAAGGGCAGGGCCUAAAGGAGGAAGGGAAUUGGUGAUGCAGGGAUGCUGGGGAAUUGGGACAAUGUCCAGCAGAGGGAGGGAAGCGCAGUGCCCUGAGGUAAGGCUGCAGCCCAAGCUGUGUUCAUUAAUACAACACUGCCUGGGACUACUACUCAGCAAAACAAAGUAAUGAACUAUUGGUUCAUGUAACAAUCUGGAGCUCCAGAGAAUUAUAGAAUACUCUGAUUGUAUAACAGACUUUUAUCCUUGAUUAUUUCUGAGUGCUGGGUUAGAAUUUGGUUUACCUUCUAAGUGAGCCAUCUCUGUAAUGUUCCAGUUUUCUGUAAUAAGCAUGAAAGAGGCUUGCAUUCGGAAAAACAUAAGAUUGUUUAAAUAAAAAGUGGGGAGGGAUACAUAGUCCCCAAGAAGGUACAGUCCUUCGGGUCUUUCUCAGAUAGUGAUAAAUACCAGAAAAGGCAGUGUAGCCUAGUCGUUCAGAAAUGGCUCAGAAGUAAGAUGACCUGUGAGAACCUAGGUCUCUUAUGCACAGUGGGCAUAAUAUGAAUCCACGUCACAUAGGCUGCUGGGAAAAUCAACAUGUGUGAAGUGUUUGUAACAGUGCCCAUAAAGUACUAAGUGUUCAAUUACCCUUUGCUUUCUCUGGUUCUUUCCUGGUCAGCCCCUCAUCUAGGAGAUGACAAGAGAUGGGAAUUGAGACAAAGCCAGCCUCCCUACACCCCCAACCCCCUGUUCCCCAGGGAAAACAGGCCCAAGGAAGGGGCCUCUGAGGCACAGCAAGUAAUUCCACACGGUGAAGCCUGGGCAGAGGCUCCUCCCGUCCUAUGACUGACUACCUUUCCCACUCCCUACUCCUGGGAAGGAAGAGAGGAGAGCUUAUGUCCCUUGGGAAUCAGCAGCCCAACUCCAGGGCCCAUGCGCCAGUCUCACAGGCUAACACCGACUCCAUCCUGCAUGGCUCUCUCCUGCCACCUUCCCAUCACAGUCCGUGACUUUUCCCAACCAUGAUUAACCCAGGCUCCCAGAUGCCCUCCAUGAGCCCCUUGCCCCAGCCUUGGUUGGACAGGUAGAAUCAGCCUAAACCACCAGGCAGGAGCCUGUACUGUAGAAAGCCAGGCUCACUGACUUGACAAUGACGGAGCUGCACACGUUGGGGGUAUGGGGGUCGUGGGGCCCUUCGGUUGCUUAUGGGACAUAAGGAAACUGGCGUUUGUUCAGGCGAAAUUGGACAGGCUGUUUGGCAGGCUGAAAGCAGAUCAUGACUGUGUGUAGCUGGUCUCCACCGCAAAGCGGAGCUGGGAAACCAAAACGUUAAGAUGGAUGUGGAAUAUUGCGCCAGAAACCCCUCUUCCGGGGCUGGACGCCCGGGUAGGAAUUGAAGCUGAAUCUCGCGUCAAAGUGAUUUAGGUUACCCUGGCAGCAUGGGGUUUUCUUCUUACUGAUUGGAUUUCAAACAGCAGAGCAUCUCACCGUUUGUGAUGGUAGGAACCCGAGUUUCUAAAAGAAAGCAGUUGUCGGUCACUCAGAAGGGGGCGUUCUGCCAAUAUCGCUUCCGCGUCUGCCACUCUAGCCCCACGUAAGGCCACAGACUUUGCUUUCUUAGGCGGAGCUCAUUUUUACAUUCUCCAAUGCAACCCAUUCACACCAGCAUCCUCCUGUGUCCAAGGAGGAGAGGGACAUGCACCCCACUCCCCAGGACGAAAAGGCGGGGUCGGAGGCCGCCUUUGGGCGGAUGACGCUGCGGCGCGUCCGGGCUACGCCGUUCCUUGGGCUCCGCGCGCCUGCGCUCCUGCCUUCUUCUUGCCGCCGCAUGCGCAGAUCCGGGUCCCUCGAUUGAUUCCCAGCUCGGGAUGGGGCAAAAUUCUCCCUGCAGUGGCCGCACCUGCUUCCUCGUUGAUCUCAUCACCUACGUGCCAGUCACACCGACGUUCCUCUGGUCCUCAAAAGGCAAGAAACCAUUGUUCCCUCUACCAGGAAAGAAGUUUGCGCAGCUGGCCCCUCCCACCAUUCACCUUUGAGGAUUCAGCUCAGAUGUCACUUCUUGACCUGACCACAUCACCCACUGCUGCCCAUGCACCCAGCCGCUGCAGCACGCUUGUUUUACUUUCUUCAUAGCAUGUAUCUGGUUCAGAAUGCUGGGAUCUUAAAGGCCUAAGAGGCCCCCCGUAGCUCCCUGCCACACUUCCCUCACCUACCUUGGACCGUGAGUGGCUGCAAUUUCAGCCAGGUAUCCUGAGUCCCACUCAGGUUCUUGGAGUUCCUGCUGUAGCUCUGGGCCAGCCUUGGAACUGUCCCCUCAUCCUGCUUAUGUGUCCUAUUCAAGGGCCCUAAACAGGAGCCCCGAAGUCCUGGUGGAAACUUGCUCACCUGAGAGCUGAGUGCAGAGAGCUGGUCUGAGGAGGCUCCUGGAGCUGCGUCCAGCCCAGACCUGUUCUCCAUCUGGAAUCGAUUUUGCAUGGUGUCAGGAGUCAAGGUACAUUUUUUUCCCAUAUGGAAAUCCAGUUGGCUCACUAUUGUUCAUUGAAAGAGCACAGACACGCCACUGUGUACUGAUGGAGUUCAUCAGUCAGUGUGAGGGCGCGUUGCCGGAAGAUGUGACUCUGUUCCCCCUCACCCUGAGGACAAGGCAGGGCCACCGCACGAUACAACAACAUGCCGAUCUCCAUGGAUUCCUGAAACACAGAGGCAGGACUCUGGACCCAGAAAUACCUGGCUUGACUCAUGGGAUUGCAGCUGUCAAGCUGCAGGCCUGCGUGGGUGUUGGCAUCUAGAAAACAAGGCUGGUGAUCCUGAAAUUGGAGCCUGUAAAAGCCCUGGUAUUUUGGUGGGUGGACUGUGCUCAUCCCUGUUUGCUUUCUUCCUUUGCAGAGUUCUCCCCUAACUUCCUUCUUCCCUUUUCAUCUGAGCCUCUUCUGUCCCCACACCCCUGCCGGGUGGACCUUAGCAAAUCUCAAGUAUAAUAUCCCGUAUAAUUAACUGUUUCAGCAGGCUGUAUAUAGAUCCCCAGAGCUUAUUCAUCCUGCAUAACGUAAUUUUUGUAAUCGUGUCACCAACAUCUCCUGUCUUCCCACGCAAGU